This 1237-nucleotide ribosomal RNA is filed under the name uncultured Methanomicrobia archaeon. RNAcentral describes it as "bacterial SSU rRNA". It matches the Rfam family "Archaeal small subunit ribosomal RNA", at positions 76 to 1318 of the family's 1478-position model. Lineage: Archaea; Methanobacteriati; Methanobacteriota; Methanomicrobia. The record is from RNAcentral.
CCACGGCAUAUUGCUCAGUAACACGUGGAUAACCUACCCUUGGGACUGGGAUAACCCCGGGAAACUGGGGAUAAUAUCAGAUAGGUCAUAGACGCUGGAAUGCCCUUUGACUGAAAGCGAAAGCACCCAAGGAUGGAUCUGCGGCCCAUCAGGCUGUUGUCAGUGUAACGAACUGACAAACCUAUAAUGGGUACGGGCACUGAGAGGUGGAGCCCGGAGAUGGGUUCUGAGACAUGAACCCAGGGUCUACGGACCGCAGCAGGCGCGAAACCUUUGCAAUGCGGGAAACCGCGACAGGGGAACUCCGAGUGUCUGCACCUAGUGCAGACUUUUCAGAUGCCUAAAAAGCAUCUGGAAUAAGGGCCGGGUAAGACGGGUGCCAGCCGCCGCGGUAACACCCGCGGCCCAAGUGGUGGUCGUUUUUAUUGGGUCUAAAGGGUUCGUAGCCGGCCCAGCAAGUCCUUUGGGAAAUCCGGCGGCUUAACUGUCGGGCUUCUAAGGGAUACUACUGGGCUUGGGACCGGGUGAGGCUAGAGGUACUCCAGGGGUAGCGGUGAAAUGCUGUAAUCCUUGGGGGACUACCAGUGGCGAAGGCGUCUAGCCAGAACGGGUUCGACGGUGAGGGACGAAAGCUAGGGGCGCAAACGGGAUUAGAUACCCCGGUAGUCCUAGCCCUAAACGAUGCGGGCUGUGUGUCGGUCUUGACGCGAUUGAGACCGGUGCCGUAGGGAAGCUGUUAAGCCCGCCACCUGGGGAGUACGGUCGCAAGGCUGAAACUUAAAGGAAUUGGCGGGGGAGCACCACAACGGGUGGAGCCUGCGGUUUAAUUGGAUUCAACGCCGGAAAGCUCACCGGGUGCGACAGCUGUAUGAAGGCCAAGUUGGAGACUUUGCCAGACUAGCUGAGAGGAGGUGCAUGGCCGUCGACAGUUCGUAUCGUGAGACAUCCUGUUAAGUCAGGCAACGAGCGAGACCCGCAUCCAUAGUUGCCAGCGUCUUCUCCGGAAGACAGGUACUCUGUGGAGACCGCCUUUGCUAAAAAGGAGGAGGGAGCGGGCUACGGUAGGUCAGUAUGCCCCGAAUCUCCCGGGCUACACGCGGGCUACAAUGGUUGGGACAAUGGGACUCGACCCCGAAAGGGGAAGGUAAUCUCCUAAACCCAAUCUCAGUACAGACUGAGGGCUGAACUCGCCCUCACGAAGAUGGAUCCGUAGUAAUCGCGUUUCAACAUAACGCGG